ACGAACGCUGGCGGCGUGCUUAACACAUGCAAGUCGAGCGGUAAGGCCCUUUCGGGGGUACACGAGCGGCGAACGGGUGAGUAACACGUGGGUGACCUGCCCUCAGCUCUGGGAUAAGCCCGGGAAACUGGGUCUAAUACCGGAUAUGACUUCAUGACGCAUGUUGUGGAGUGGAAAGCCUUGUGCGGCUGAGGAUGGGCCCGCGGCCUAUCAGCUUGUUGGUGGGGUGAUGGCCUACCAAGGCGACGACGGGUAGCCGGCCUGAGAGGGCGACCGGCCACACUGGGACUGAGACACGGCCCAGACUCCUACGGGAGGCAGCAGUGGGGAAUCUUGCGCAAUGGGCGAAAGCCUGACGCAGCGACGCCGCGUGAGGGAUGACGGCCU
This 387-nucleotide ribosomal RNA is filed under the name uncultured bacterium. RNAcentral describes it as "bacterial SSU rRNA". It matches the Rfam family "Bacterial small subunit ribosomal RNA", at positions 29 to 417 of the family's 1533-position model. The record is from RNAcentral.